GAUGAACGCUGGCGGCAUGCCUAAUACAUGCGAGUCGAACGAGAGGAAGGAAAGCUUGCUUUUCUGGAUCUAGUGGCGAACGGGUGAGUAACACGUAGGUAACCUGCCCAUGUGCCCGGGAUAACUUCUGGAAACGGAUGCUAAAACCGGAUAGGUAGCAGACAAGCAUUUGACUGCUAUUAAAGUGGCUAAGGCCAUUAACAUGGAUGGACAUGCGGUGCAUUAGCCAGGUGGGGAGGUAACGGCCCACCAAGGCGACGAUGCAUAGCCGGCCUGAGAGGGCGGACGGCCACAUUGGGACUGAGACACGGCCCAAACUCCUACGGGAGGCAGCAGUAGGGAAUUUUCGUCAAUGGGGGGAACCCUGAACGAGCAAUGCCGCGUGAGUGAGGAAGGUCUUCGGAUCGUAAAGCUCUGUUGUAAGAGGAAAACGACAUUCAUAGGGAAUGAUGAGUGAGUGAUGGCAUCUUACCAGAAAGUCACGGCUAACUACGUGCCAGCAGCCGCGGUAA
This 512-nucleotide ribosomal RNA is filed under the name uncultured bacterium. Its description in RNAcentral is "partial 16S ribosomal RNA". It matches the Rfam family "Bacterial small subunit ribosomal RNA", at positions 28 to 523 of the family's 1533-position model. The record is from RNAcentral.